This 73-nucleotide transfer RNA is filed under the name Rattus norvegicus (Norway rat). It matches the Rfam family "tRNA". From Rfam's summary of the family: Transfer RNA (tRNA) molecules are approximately 80 nucleotides in length. Their secondary structure includes four short double-helical elements and three loops (D, anti-codon, and T loops). Lineage: Eukaryota; Metazoa; Chordata; Mammalia; Rodentia; Muridae. The record is from Rfam by way of RNAcentral.
GCCUGGCUAGCUCAGUCUGUGGAGCAUGAGACUCUUAAUCUCAGGGUCGUGGGCUUGAGCCCCACAUUGGACG